This 89-nucleotide non-coding RNA is filed under the name Pseudomonas fluorescens. Lineage: Bacteria; Pseudomonadati; Pseudomonadota; Gammaproteobacteria; Pseudomonadales; Pseudomonadaceae. The record is from RNAcentral.
UGUGGGAGCGGGCUUGCUCGCGAAAGCGGCGGAUCAGACAAAUCAAUUGUGACUGAUAUACCGCCUUCGCGAGCAAGCCCGCUCCCACA